AGCGAACGCUGGAGGCAGGCUUAACACAUGCAAGUCGAACGGUCCUUCGGGAUAGUGGCGGACGGGUGAGUAACACGUGGGAACGUACCCUUAGGUUCGGAACAAAACAGGGAAACUUGUGCUAAUACCGGAUAAGCCCUUCGGGGGAAAGAUUUAUCGCCUUUGGAGCGGCCCGCGUCUGAUUAGCUUGUUGGUGAGGUAAUGGCGCACCAAGGCUACGAACAGUAGCUGGUCUGAGAGGAUGGCAAGCCACACUGGGACUGAGACACGGCCCAGACUCCUACGGGAGGCAGCAGUGGGGAAUCUUGCGCAAUGGGCGAAAGCCUGACGCAGCCAUGCCGCGUGGAUGAUGGAGGUCUUAGGAUUGUAAAAUCCUUUCACCGGGGACGAUAAUGACUGUACCCGGAGAAGAAGCCCCGGCUAACUUCGUGCCAGCCGCCGCCGUAA
Molecule: ribosomal RNA, 447 nt
Filed under: uncultured bacterium
Lineage: Bacteria
Description: partial 16S ribosomal RNA
Rfam family: Bacterial small subunit ribosomal RNA
Source: RNAcentral